This is a long non-coding RNA of Manis pentadactyla (Chinese pangolin), 5050 nucleotides long. RefSeq lists it as uncharacterized. The transcript is spliced from 4 exons. The record is from RefSeq and is a predicted model, not a curated record. Lineage: Eukaryota; Metazoa; Chordata; Mammalia; Pholidota; Manidae.
UCCUCACUCUUGCAUCCAGGUGGACAGAAACAUAGCUGGGCACAGGCAGAGAGCAAAAGAACCUCUAGAGGGUCUUACUCAAGCAAUGAAAUAGUCCACUGGAAGUGCUAAAUGUCACUUCAGUUCACUAGGUAGAACCACAAGGGGCUGGGAAGUUCUAUCCAUAGGGUUAAGGAGCCUAGAAUACUUGGUGAAUGGUAGUGAAGAAUGCCAUACACCCUUUCCCCAAAUAUCUGGUAUAGAAACAUAACUCAAGGUAGUAUAUAGUAAGUGACAGAUAAAUGGCACAGUCUGAAAAUGCUGUAGAAAUUAGAGGUAGCAAGGAUCCCAGGCAGAGAGGAACUGUUUGACCCCCGAUGACCCUGUGCCACUGCACACAGAAAGAAAACUUAGGGUGAUGUGGAGAAGCCUGCCUAGUAUCAUAACCAGCAGCCACCUAAACCCGUUUCCCUUUCUCCAGCACAACUACUCUGACAAGAACUGCAGGUCCUUCUAGCAACUUCAGAACAAAGUCAGCCCUAAGGGUGCAUUUGGACACAACAGAACUAAGACUAGUUGUUUUACUCUGCAGGAUUUGAGAGAUUGCCUGGUCUGUAUUCUUUAAUAUGAUUAAAUUCCUUUAUUAAAUGAGGAAACUGAGACCUAUAGAAGUUAAUUGCCUUGCCACAAAAGGAAAAAAAAAUAAAUGAAAGCACAAAUUAGAGGUCUAAAACCAAUUCUUACACUUCUUCGUUUAAGUCUACUGUCUUUCUGCACUAUCCUGCUGGAACCAAUGCAGUGCCAUUUAAUGAUAAUAACUCCAGUUUAAGUCCUUGGAAACAAAAUUUCUAUAAAUCCAAGACCCAGGUUUAUUUUGAUUUAUUGGUUCCAAAGUUAGCUGGCCUUGGCACAGUACAAUAUUAUUGGCUUCGAAUAAUUCUCAGGGACUCUGAUAGAGUUCUUCCAUAAGUUGUUUUGGUGACACAUGUCUUUAAAACAAAAGAACUUUAUUGUUGUUCAACUUCUCUCUUUUUGCAUCUUCUCUCCUUACACCAAUUAGAUGUAUUUUCAGCAUAUGGUUUUAUGAUACCUGUACCAAGGAUAACAGCUGUUUCUACGGGUUCCCUGUGGACAUUUUAUUAGCCCAACGACUGAUCUGACUGUGCAGAGUAGGUUAUAUAUCUCUAAAACAUUCUGGAUAUUUGGUUAAUCUGUUUCUACUUCCAAUUUACCUUUCAGGAUCAAAGAGUUGGGGCUCCACAGCAAGGAAUAUUGCCUUUCAUUAGGGAUGACAAUCACUUAGGUAUAACAAAUGUACAGAUAGAACUGGUUAAACUCUCAGGCUCAGUUGCAACCAAUAAUGUGAGCAGGGAGGCAAAUCCUUCUCUCCCUUAAGGCCCAGAUCCUCCACGGCCCCGACCUUAUUUCCCUUGCUGAAGCUAUGUAUCUCCUCUCUUAACUCUCCUCCAGCUUCGUCCGCAUUUCCCCUAUUGCCCCUACCUCUGCCUGCAUUGCCGUCUACUUACUGGCACCUGUCUUGAUUAUGCCACGUCUCUGAAAGGUCUUUCAGUUUGGAGACACAGUAUGACUCAACUCAACACUUACUCUCCAGUAUUUUGAACAUAGUAGGUACAAUUUGGUGUUCGACAAAUACUUGUCACGAGAAUGGCACUUUGAAGUAAGAAGAGUGUCACAAACUUUGUUAGUCUCUCCCUUCUUUGCCCAGAUGAGCGCCUAGGCGAUGGUUGGCUUGCUGCACUCCACUGCAACCGGGAACUGUGGUGAUGGUCACCGGGCGGCUGGGCGGCGCCGCGGCUGCACCUUCCAGCCCGGGGACCCCGCGCCCGGCUCCACGAGCCGACAGCGCCCUCUGGCGGACGUGCGCGCGCCCAGCCGAGUUACUCCCGCGGCCCCGCUGCCUCCUUUUCCAUCGCCUCCUGCGGGCUCUGGCUGGGAGAGCUGGGAGCAUUAGGAUUACCUAACCAGCUGCGGGGGUAAGUCAAGAACCGACCACAUGGCAUGGGACCAUUGGCUUUAUCCAUAUGCCCGUGAACAGGGACAAAUGCAGUCAGGAGCACUUGCCAUUAUGGAAAAAAUAUGCUGUCUUAAAAACAAUGUUUUAAACAACCAGGCUUCUCAAAGUGAGGAAUUCUGUUUCUGUGACUGCAUUAAGCAAGAGGCCAUCCAUUUGCCAGUUAAAUCCACUCUGGUUUAGGAAAAACAGAGAUGGAGUCCAGAUUUUGGGGAAACUAGAACUCGAAGGUAAAGGAAUGUUAAGGGCCUUCAGGUGGGCCACAGGGACCCACCCUACCUUUUUCUUGAUUGAAGUCUGCAGGUCAGUUCCUGGGGCUGAGGUGAGAGUUGUGAGAAAUGGCCAAGGAACCCCAUUGGAGAAGCCACCUCCAGAAUGGAAAGAAGAAAGGACAAGUGGAAUUCCUCCAUCCCACCAGGUGUCACGGAAGCAGAUCCCUCCAGCUCAGGCCCCCACGUGUGUGCUGAAGCCAUGACCCACACCUACUUCUCAGGGACUUUGCUGCUGGUCACCCCCUGGCUCCCCUCCUUCAGCCUCUCCAUCUCUGUCAUUCGUUCCCAUCAAAUGCCAAGACAGUAAUGCAGAAGUUGUCCUGAUGACAUUGUCAGAGCUACAAGGACUUAUGUUAUGAAGAGACCCAGGUACAGGUGGAGACCAAGACAGGGUGAUGAAGCAGGAGAAAAAGAGGGAUGUGCUGAGCAUCACUGCUAAAGAAGGAAGAUUCUCUUCCAACCCAUCCGUUCCUGCCCAUUAAAAUGCCAAGUUGCCCUCCUCUUUAAUGCACAUGGUGGCAUGGUGGGAGACACUGCCUGUUGUUUCCUGGGGUCAUAGUUCAUUCUCAACCCACAAGUGAACAUUGUCAAGGUCAUCCCUCCAGGUGACCUUAGAGAUCUUGAUACUGCAUUGCAGAAUGGGGUGAAAGUGUGGGUGAAAGUGUGGGUGAUAAGUGAGUCACCAGGCAGACUUCAGAUGUAAUAUGGGUUUAUACUUUGAACUUUUGAGGGAGCUUUUAUAUCAAUCCCUCCUUUAUUAUUCCUUUCUCAACUACAAGUCCAGAGCAAGUAUCAUUAUUCCCAUUUUACAGAGGGGGUAACUGACCCUCAAAGAAGGUAAGGGACUCAAGUACAUGCGGGAUUAGAGCCUAGAGUAGAACCUGAUUCCCUGUAUGGGGCUUCCUCCCCAUGACCAACCUUACCCACCUUAUCUGUGAGUGAUCAAGGCACCAAGGGGUGGUAUCUUAUAAUUUCCCUGGAAACUGAGCCUCCAAGGAGGCCUCAUUGCCCUGCAAGGCAAAGGCUGCUGCUCCAGCUUGGGGGCUGCAUGGAGACCCUGGCUCAGACUUGCAGGCCACCGCAGCCCCUCUCAGCUACUGAGCUGGCCUGGGAAGUGUGGGGCGUGAAAGGAGGAGCGCUUGCCGGGGUGCUCCCCAUCAGGGUUUGGUAGGCACGGUGCUGCAUGGAGGGCAACCAGAGGUAUUCAGAACCUUACCUUACACACAGGAAAUCAGAGAUAUUAGGGGGACUUUUCCUGGGGACACUGCCUUCACCCACUCUAGGUUAGGGUAGAUGUCUUCUCAAGUUCUUGUCUCACUGAAGGACUUGCUUUUAAAAGCCAGUCUUUUUCCACUUCUCUCUCCUCCUUUCUCCUGUCUUUUCUUUCUCUAAACCUGUUGCACCUCAGGUUAACUUCUGACAAAGGGAGCCUUUCUGCAUCAUUUUAUUCUUGCAAAUGUAAGUAUAAGCUAACCAGGAGAGCCAGGCCAGGCACAGCUGUUGCAGGCCUGUAUUCUUGGAGUGCAGGAACCAAGCAUGGAAGUUGUCUUGUGGGACCUGAGAUUUCCUAGGGAGCUUGCAGAAAAGGCAAAGCCCUGCCUGGGACAAGAUAUGGUAACCUAGGGCUGUGCACUUUGGGAGGGGCCCUGGUACCUUAGAAUGUAGUGAAGAAAGAGGAAAGGAUGCUCCCCUCUUCACUCCCUGAAAAUCAUAGCAGCUCUUUUCUCUCACCUGGGUCCUGCAUCCUGUUAUUUCCUCUGAAAGGACCCCCCUGCUCCACCCUGUGGGGCGCAGCUUACACAGCAUUUCUUCCAAUAGAUUCCCCUCCCACCUUGCCCCUGAUCAGCCCUGAGUACAUGUUUUUGUCAGUGGUGGUCUAUAUGGUGUUUCCCCCAAGGCAGUAUUACAGCAAAGCUAAUAUAGCUUGCACUUUAGGACACCUCCCUUGCUCCUUCCAAAGCUCUGUUGCUAAUUUUGUAUUUCUAAUUUGUAUUCUUUUUCCUAAAGAGGGCUUUUCAAGUUGUUUAAGCUUCAGGCCAUGUGAAACUGGGGUCUACCUGUGACCUUUCCCAAAACUCUGCAAACUCCCUGACUCGGACUGAGUGACAGAUUCCCUGGGCUAUUCCUAGAUCUAGAGCACAGGCUGGGCUCUCAAUAAACAUUUCUGAAGUGAAAGGAAGAAAAGCUCCUUGGCUAGUGUUUAGCAGAUCAGUGGUUCUCAGUAAGAAUGCUCAGCACUGUCACUUGAACAAUCUGGAAGGGCUGGCGUGAAAUGCCUGUCACUUCAGUAUAAUGCAGUGUGGGAUACAAUCCAUCUUGGAAGCUCAGGGAUUUCAUUCUAGGAUCUUGGGCAAAUUAACUGCCUAUCAGGAAGCCCUGGUUUAUUCAAACAUAUUAAGAGGUUUGUAACAACUGCCUUAUAGAAUAACAAUGGUUAUAUAUUACAGAUAAGUCAGUACCUGGCAUUGAGUAGUUCUCAGGAAAUUCCUUUAUAUACUCACUCCCUAAGGAAUAUUUCAUUUUUAAUCCUUUUUAUCUCUAGCACUAUAGCUUCCCAAGGCUACCCUUGUAGACUUUUCACCAGGUGGCUCCUGGAUAAUGGGGCUUUGGUGUAAAGGGUCCAGACAAAGGAAUUUGUCCUGGGUCCAGCACUCCACGAAAAAUGGCCCUGAGACCAGGUCUGGGGUACUCUCCUAUAUAUGGCUCCUUCCUUCAAUAAGAGAGAGGACUGUAGGAAAAAUCCAAGAAACUUGAAUAAAAAUAUAAA